CCUACGGGAGGCAGCAGUGGGGAAUCUUCCGCAAUGGGCGAAAGCCUGACGGAGCAACGCCGCGUGAGUGAAGAAGGCCUUCGGGUUGUAAAACUCUGUCUUCAGGGAAGAAAGAGAUGACGGUACCUGAGGAGGAAGCCACGGCUAACUACGUGCCAGCAGCCGCGGUAAUACGUAGGUGGCAAGCGUUGUCCGGAAUUACUGGGCGUAAAGAGCGCGUAGGCGGGGAUUUAAGUCAGGAGUGAAAACUGCGGGCUCAACCUGCAGCCUGCUCUUGAAACUGGAUUUCUUGAGGGUAUGAGAGGAAAGCGGAAUUCCCAGUGUAGCGGUGAAAUGCGUAGAUAUUGGGAGGAACACCAGUGGCGAAGGCGGCUUUCUGGCAUACAACUGACGCUGAGGCGCGAAAGCGUGGGGAGCGAACGGGAUUAGAUACCCUUGUAGU
RNAcentral lists this ribosomal RNA (442 nucleotides) under uncultured Peptococcaceae bacterium. Its description in RNAcentral is "partial 16S ribosomal RNA". It matches the Rfam family "Bacterial small subunit ribosomal RNA", at positions 338 to 794 of the family's 1533-position model. The record is from RNAcentral. Lineage: Bacteria; Bacillati; Bacillota; Clostridia; Eubacteriales; Peptococcaceae.